Molecule: ribosomal RNA, 536 nt
Filed under: Alteromonas sp.
Lineage: Bacteria; Pseudomonadati; Pseudomonadota; Gammaproteobacteria; Alteromonadales; Alteromonadaceae
Description: bacterial SSU rRNA
Rfam family: Bacterial small subunit ribosomal RNA
Source: RNAcentral
CGGCGCAAAGAGAGGCCCAAGUGAGAUUAGCUAGUUGGUAAGGUAAAGGCUUACCAAGGCAACGAUCUCUAGCUGUUCUGAGAGGAAGAUCAGCCACACUGGAACUGAGACACGGUCCAGACUCCUACGGGAGGCAGCAGUGGGGAAUAUUGCACAAUGGGGGAAACCCUGAUGCAGCCAUGCCGCGUGUGUGAAGAAGGCCUUCGGGUUGUAAAGCACUUUCAGUUGUGAGGAAAAGUUAGUAGUUAAUACCUGCUAGCCGUGACGUUAACAACAGAAGAAGCACCGGCUAACUCCGUGCCAGCAGCCGCGGUAAUACGGAGGGUGCGAGCGUUAAUCGGAAUUACUGGGCGUAAAGCGCACGCAGGCGGUUUGUUAAGCUAGAUGUGAAAGCCCCGGGCUCAACCUGGGAUGGUCAUUUAGAACUGGCAGACUAGAGUCUUGGAGAGGGGAGUGGAAUUCCAGGUGUAGCGGUGAAAUGCGUAGAUAUCUGGAGGAACAUCAGUGGCGAAGGCGACUCCCUGGCCAAAGACUGA